AAGCCGUUAGGAAUAGAACAAGCAAUGAACUCUCAAUGUUUUAACCAUUAAAAGAAAAUUAUUAAAAAUAUGUAAACUUUACUUGGAUAAGCAAAAAGAAAACGAUAUUCAGUUCCCUCAUAUAAUUGAGUUCUAACCCGGAGUCUUGAUCUCUAUUUAUUUUCUCGCUGAUUGGACACUGAAAAAAGAUGCGCAAAAAGUUACCACGAACGCAUUUAUAUUAUGAUGAUCAAUCACUGAUAUCAUUGGAAAAACAAUUAAGGAACAGAGGUGGGUCCUGAACAAGACCAGUUAACCAAACAACUGCCAUCGCAAAAACCUACCGUUAGGGAUAUAAAUAAGUAAUCGACCCUAAAUGUUUCAACCAGUAAAAGGACAUUUUUUAAAAUAACUUUGCUUGGAUAAGUAAAGAGAAAACGAUUUUCAGUGCCCCAUGCAAUUGGGUUCUGACCCGGAGUCUUGGUCAUAGAACUAUUAAGCUCUACUAGGCAGCUUUGCGGCAGCAGUGCGUCAGACCUGACAUUGACGGGGUCCACUGAAAAUAGUUGAUACUUUGCUUGGAUAAGUCGAGUUGCGAGUCCAAAAUGUGCACUUUAAUAUUGAGCUGGAUUCUUAAUCUUGUUGUUAGUCAUCUCCAUAUAAUACCUUACUGACUAGACACUGGAAAAAGAUUCAUAAAAUGUUUUCGUGAAGUCCACGGACGCAUCUAAAUUAUGACGAUCAAAUACUGGCAUCAUUGUAAAAACGAUAAAGGACAAAGAUAGAAUAUUAAUGGUGGGUCCCGAACAAGACCAGUUUAUCAACCAACUGGCAUCACAAAGUAUCAUAUUACAGGUUUUGCUACCCUAAAUUUAAUCUGUAGGUCGAAGUCGUUAUGGAUAUAAAUAAAACCUACCAAAGCCGUUAGGGACAUAAAUAAGUAAUUGUCCCUCAAUGUUUUAAACAGUAAAAGGACAUUUUUUAAAAUAACUUUGCUUGGAUAAGUAAAGAGAAAACGAUUUUCAGUGCCCCAUGCAAUUGGGUUCUGACCCGGAGUCUUGGUCAUAGAACUAUUAAGCUCUACUAGGCAGCUUUGCGGCAGCAGUGCGUCAGACCUGACAUUGACGGGGUCCACUGAAAAUAGUUGAUACUUUGCUUGGAUAAGUGGAGUUGUGAGUCCAAAAAUGUGCACUUUAAUAUUGAGCUGGAUUCUCAAUCUUGUUGUUAGUCAUCCCCAUAUAAUACCUGACUGACUAGACACUGGAAAAAGAUUCAUAAAAUGUUUUCGUGAAGUCCACGGAUGCAUCUAAAUUAUGACGAUCAAAUAUUGGCAUCAUUGGAAAAACGAUAAAGGAACAAAGAUAAAAUAUUAAUGGUGGGUCCCGAACAAGACUAGUUUAUCAACCAACUGGCAUCACAAAAAUAUACCAGAGCCGUUAGGGAUAUAAAUAAGUAAUUGACCCUCAAUGUUUUAACUAUUAAAAGGACAUUUUUUAAAAUAACUAAAUUAAAUAUAAGUUUUUUGAAUAUAAAUUAUUAAAAAUAGUUAAUACUUUGCUUGGAUAAGUAAAAAGAAAACGAUUUCCAGUCACCCAUGCAAUUGGGUUCUGACCCGGAGUCUUGGUCAUAGAACUAUUAAGCUCUACUAGGCAGCUUUGCGGCAGCAGCGUGUCAAACCUGACAUUGAAUAGGUCCACUGAAAAUAGUUGAUACUUUACUUGUAUAAGUGGAGUCGCGAUUCCAAAAUGUGCACUUUAAUAUUGAACUGGAUUCUCAUUCUUCUUAUUAGUUAUCUUAAAGGAUAAGUAGUUUUGCAGUUUCGGAAAUUGAGUUUGUUGCUCAUAAAAAUUUGCGUUGUUAAAUAGUCCUUUCCAAUGUUCUUUCUUUUGUUAAAACAUUUAGACAAGAUUUUCUAUUUGUAUUCUCGCUGAUACUUAUAAGAGGCGCAAGUCCAUGGUCGCAUCUAGAGUAUGUCUACCCACAAAUGACACCACUGUGGUGUCAAUAAUUUUUAAAGCCACUUAUUCGGUUAGCUUUGGCGCCGAUUACACCAAAUAUGUAUCAACUGUAAUCGUAUACAAAUAUUCGAUUCUUAUUGUUUUAACUAUUAAAGGAAGCAUCACUUAAUAAACACACAUAAAAGUGUUUCACUAAAAGUUUUUUGAAGAUCGCGAGUCUAACAAUGCAUAAACUUUUAAUAUGUGUAAAAUUGUUGGCGUUGAUCGUGACACGUAAUCCGUACAAUGUAGACGUAGUCCUUGUAAGACGUAACAUAGAACGUAUAACGCAAUUAGCAUAUAUGUUCAAUCUUUGGUUCUAAAAUUUUGCGAGUUAAAUUGCUACUUUGAUCGUAAAAUGUAAUCCGUAUAACGCAGAACGUAGUCCGUCAAUCGUAUAACGUAGACCGUAUAACGCAUUAGCAAAGAUACGUAUGACGUCAAACGAAACGCAAAAACGUAGAGCGUAGAACGUAAGUCAUAUCAUGGUUAACGUAGCAAUUCGUUGAAACUUAAUACAUCUUGUAAACCGCAAAUUGCAGAAAUACGUUUAACAUAAAACGCAUCGGUAUCGUUGCAUAAAACGUAAGCCCGUAAGCGUGAAAGGCCACAAUUUUACACACAUUUGAUAUAUUGUUUUGAAAUUAAAUUACUCUUCGAAAUCUGCGUUCUUAAAUACUUAUCUUAAAUAUUCCUUCUUUAGUUAAUACAUUUACAAAAAGUUUUUUGAUGUAUUUAUAGUUGUUUAGGUUUAAGUAGAUUGUAACUUAGUAUAGGAAAUGUAUUUAC
This is a long non-coding RNA of Aethina tumida (small hive beetle), 2765 nucleotides long. RefSeq lists it as uncharacterized. The transcript has 7 exons. Lineage: Eukaryota; Metazoa; Arthropoda; Insecta; Coleoptera; Nitidulidae. The record is from RefSeq and is a predicted model, not a curated record.